Molecule: non-coding RNA, 82 nt
Filed under: Candidatus Pullichristensenella stercorigallinarum
Lineage: Bacteria; Bacillati; Bacillota; Clostridia
Description: Glycine riboswitch
Rfam family: Glycine riboswitch aptamer
About the family: This family represents the bacterial glycine riboswitch. Glycine riboswitches usually consist of two metabolite-binding aptamers domains with similar structures in tandem.
Source: RNAcentral
UUCCGGGAGAGACUGCGCCGCCGUUGAGCGGCCAGCGCCGAAGGGGAAUGCGCAAACAACUCUCAGGCAAAAGGACCGGAAC